Molecule: long non-coding RNA, 1654 nt
Organism: Eleginops maclovinus (Patagonian blennie)
Lineage: Eukaryota; Metazoa; Chordata; Actinopteri; Perciformes; Eleginopidae
Exons: 3
Source: RefSeq, a predicted model, not a curated record
UUGAUUUGAAAGUUAGCCUGUCAAUUUGCAAUGAAGCUUCGCAUGAAAACACCUGCGUUUUAGCGGAAAUAACCGUCAUGCUGCUCAUUAUUCGUAUUAACUAUGGACCUUAAACACCUCAAGAGAUUUCCUGCAAACUUUAAAUCACAUAACUUUCUCCCGAGGAGUUUUCUACUUCACCUGGGCGGUGAAGGGCUGUCAGCGACUGUUUCCAAGGUAAAGACUGAAUAACAUGCUUAAACAAACGAUGCCACCACCAUAAUAAGAAAGGACACUAUGAAACUCUUUUGAUGUACAGCUUUUCCUAAAUAUUGAAUGAUGCCAUCUUAUGCUUUCAUCAUCGGCUACUGAUGGACCUCUGAGAGAUUUCCAAAAAUUGAUCCAUUUGUUGCUUUGAAGAAGAACAAUGAGUCAUGAAAUGUGUGCAACUCGACUCUAAACUAAAGGCCUUCUCAUGUAUUGGAAAAUAUAACAUUUGGAAAUCUCAGAUGUUAGGAUGAUGAGGAAUAUUACACAAAAGGGAUAAACAUUAGUAUUUUUCUUUCAUCCUAAAGUUGGUUUAAAAGGAACAAUUUAUCAAAAUCCUUCAGAAUGAAAUGCUUUUACGUAUAAAAAGAGGAAAAAUAACAAUGACACCAACAUUCUUUUAUUGAACUGUUUUUCCUCUAAUUUUUUUGCCCUAAAGCACCCUUUUCACUGUUCUCGUAACCUUAUGUAUGCAUUGUUGUCAUUCAGAAAAUUGUGUCUCUGAAAAUGAAAAGGCACAGAACCAAAACAAAUUCAAUGAACUGCAUUUUAAGUGAUCUCAGGACAUUUCCCUUCAACCUCAGAGCAUCCUUUGUGGUUUUUAAAAGUGGACUGAAGAGACUAUCACUAAUGGAUCCAAGAGCAAUAUAUAGUUUUUAGUACAGCUGCGGAAAACAGCCUGAAGGACUUGUUUCCAUAAUUGCCUCCCAAUUAAUCAGAUCACUAAAACUGUGUCCUGCAGCAGUUUCCUCCUCUUUGUCCACAAAUUCAAGCCAUAUUCACUUGUGCCUAAUUCAAAGGACACAUGUCCUUUGGAAGAUAAACAUUCCCUUUUAUUAGUUUAUGCUCCCGGCCCAUUAAUUUGUGCUUGCUGUGGUCUAAAACAAUCCCUAAUAUAUUUCUCAGGAGUAAAAGAGAGUUAACAUUUUCAUAUUGUUUGUUUAACUUAACUUUCUCUAACCUUUAAUUUCUUCUGUGCAACUUAUACAAACAUUUCCCAGUUUGGGAUAAAUGAAGUAUUUCUGAUUCUGAUUAAACUAUAUCAUACAAAUGUGGAAUCUGCAAAGCUGACUAUAAACUUUGUGAAAUCAUCACUAAAUGAUCUUACUGUUUGGGUUUUUUCAAAGAGUUUUGUAAGUAUGGCAUCAUUCUGGCAGUCGUCGCUCAAAACAUGCUUUUGCUUUUUAUUUAUGCCACACAUUCCUAAUUUCAAACUAGGGCUCAGGCACUACACUAUAGAUCCUUUUUAAUGAAGCAGGGUUUACUACUAUAAGCUGUUGUUGAGAGCAGGACAAUAAAGGCACAGCAUGAAUAGAAAACAGGUAGCAGAUAAAAGACAUUGUUUUGAAAUGUUGGAACAUGGACUAAUUGACGUGCUGCAGGUUUUUUUUAUUGAUAUUUAAACAAA